This is a non-coding RNA of Ixodes scapularis (black-legged tick), 227 nucleotides long. The record is from Rfam. Lineage: Eukaryota; Metazoa; Arthropoda; Arachnida; Ixodida; Ixodidae.
UUCUGGGAGGAUUGACAGAUUGAGAGCUCUUUCUUGAUUCGGUGGAUGGUGGUGCAUGUCCUUUCUUAGAUGGUGGAGUGAUUUAUCUGGUUAAUUACGAUAACGAACGAGACUCUAGCCUAUUAAUUAGGUGCGUGGUUCUCUGCAUCUUGCACCCUUCUUAGACGGACAACCGGCUCCUAGCCGCACGAAACAGGGCAAUACCAGGUUUGUGGAUGCCCUUAUAU